RNAcentral lists this transfer RNA (71 nucleotides) under Porphyromonas sp. RNAcentral's name for it is "tRNA-Gln". It matches the Rfam family "tRNA". Rfam says of the family: Transfer RNA (tRNA) molecules are approximately 80 nucleotides in length. Their secondary structure includes four short double-helical elements and three loops (D, anti-codon, and T loops). Further hydrogen bonds mediate the characteristic L-shaped molecular structure. tRNAs have two regions of fundamental functional importance: the anti-codon, which is responsible for specific mRNA codon recognition, and the 3' end, to which the tRNAs corresponding amino acid is attached (by aminoacyl-tRNA synthetases). tRNAs cope with the degeneracy of the genetic code in two manners: having more than one tRNA (with a specific anti-codon) for a particular amino acid; and 'wobble' base-pairing, i.e. permitting non-standard base-pairing at the 3rd anti-codon position. The record is from RNAcentral. Lineage: Bacteria; Pseudomonadati; Bacteroidota; Bacteroidia; Bacteroidales; Porphyromonadaceae.
UGUCCGAUGGUGUAAUGGUAACACGCAAGAUUCUGGCUCUUGAAUUCGGGGUUCGAGUCCCUGUCGGACAG